This 403-nucleotide ribosomal RNA is filed under the name Fusobacteriota bacterium. Its description in RNAcentral is "Fusobacteria bacterium partial 16S ribosomal RNA". It matches the Rfam family "Bacterial small subunit ribosomal RNA", at positions 355 to 776 of the family's 1533-position model. Lineage: Bacteria; Fusobacteriati; Fusobacteriota. The record is from RNAcentral.
UGGGGAAUAUUGCACAAUGGGGGAAACCCUGAUGCAGCGACGCCGCGUGAGCGAAGAAGGUUUUCGAAUCGUAAAGCUCUGUCCUAUGGGAAGAUAAUGACGGUACCAUAGGAGGAAGCCCCGGCUAACUACGUGCCAGCAGCCGCGGUAAUACGCAGGGGGCAAGCGUUGUCCGGAAUCACUGGGCGUAAAGGGUUCGCAGGCGGAAAUGCAAGUCAGUUGUGAAAGGCAGAGGCUCAACCUCUGUAAGCAAUUGAAACUGUAUUUCUUGAGAUGUGGAGAGGCAAGUGGAAUUCCUAGUGUAGCGGUGAAAUGCGUAGAUAUUAGGAAGAAUACCGGUGGCGAAGGCGACUUGCUGGACACAAACUGACGCUGAGGAACGAAAGCGUGGGUAGCAAACAGG